GUUAACAUUGCCAUAAUACACCUGUUUCGACGAGUCAUCCCAAUAUGCCUGCCAUCCUGAGGGGAGAUCUUUUGAGAUUUCCGCCAGGUCAGGCUGCCGGUUUCCAUCUGUGGAUGCUUCAGCAGGGGAUUGAGUAACUUCACUUGAUGAUUGAGCUCUCCUUCGCUUUACCCGCUCGCGCCAAUCACCCCCAAGAGGCUGAAAGUUGGCGUUUUCUUUUG
This 221-nucleotide unclassified non-coding RNA is filed under the name Hevea brasiliensis (rubber tree). Lineage: Eukaryota; Viridiplantae; Streptophyta; Magnoliopsida; Malpighiales; Euphorbiaceae. The record is from RNAcentral.